GUGGGAUUAGCUAAGUGGUAAGGCAGGAGACAAACUUAUGUUUGUAGUCCUUAGUUAACAACCUUGUCUGAAAAGACCGAAAUAACAGAGGGUUAUCGUCAAUCUCCCAUCCGCAGGUUCAAAUCCUGCAUCCCGCG
RNAcentral lists this transfer RNA (137 nucleotides) under Calothrix sp. C42_A2020_038. It matches the Rfam family "tRNA". Rfam says of the family: Transfer RNA (tRNA) molecules are approximately 80 nucleotides in length. Their secondary structure includes four short double-helical elements and three loops (D, anti-codon, and T loops). Further hydrogen bonds mediate the characteristic L-shaped molecular structure. tRNAs have two regions of fundamental functional importance: the anti-codon, which is responsible for specific mRNA codon recognition, and the 3' end, to which the tRNAs corresponding amino acid is attached (by aminoacyl-tRNA synthetases). tRNAs cope with the degeneracy of the genetic code in two manners: having more than one tRNA (with a specific anti-codon) for a particular amino acid; and 'wobble' base-pairing, i.e. permitting non-standard base-pairing at the 3rd anti-codon position. The record is from Rfam by way of RNAcentral. Lineage: Bacteria; Bacillati; Cyanobacteriota; Cyanophyceae; Nostocales; Calotrichaceae.